RNAcentral lists this ribosomal RNA (486 nucleotides) under uncultured bacterium. RNAcentral describes it as "partial 16S ribosomal RNA". It matches the Rfam family "Bacterial small subunit ribosomal RNA", at positions 30 to 507 of the family's 1533-position model. The record is from RNAcentral.
AUUGAACGCUGGCGGCAUGCCUUACACAUGCAAGUCGAACGGCAGCACGGGUGCUUGCACCUGGUGGCGAGUGGCGAACGGGUGAGUAAUACAUCGGAACAUGUCCUGUAGUGGGGGAUAGCCCGGCGAAAGCCGGAUUAAUACCGCAUACGAUCUACGGAUGAAAGCGGGGGACCUUCGGGCCUCGCGCUGUAGGGUUGGCCGAUGGCUGAUUAGCUAGUUGGUGGGGUAAAGGCCUACCAAGGCGACGAUCAGUAGCUGGUCUGAGAGGACGACCAGCCACACUGGGACUGAGACACGGCCCAGACUCCUACGGGAGGCAGCAGUGGGGAAUUUUGGACAAAGGGCGAAAGCCUGAUCCAGCAAUGCCGCGUGUGUGAAGAAGGCCUUCGGGUUGUAAAGCACUUUUGUCCGGAAAGAAAUCCUUGGCCCUAAUACGGUCGGGGGAUGACGGUACCGGAAGAAUAAGCACCGGCUAACUACGUG